UCCUUUCUUCUCUUCUUCUUUCAUCUCCUCUCUCCUCCCAUCUCUUCUCUCUCCUCCCACUCAUAUUAAAUUUUCAUAGAAAAAAAGAUAAUUUAAAUUUUUACAGAGAGAUACACCUUAGAAAAAUAAUUUUUACACUUUGAAAAAAUACACCUUGGAAAGGUACGCCUCGAAAAGGUGCACAUAAAAAAGAUAACAAAUAUUUUAUUGACAGCUUCUCCUUUCUUCUCUUCUUCUUUCAUCUCUUCUCUCUCCUCCCAUCUCUUCUCUCUCCUCCCACUCAUACCAAAUUUUUAUAGGAAGAUAUACUUUGGAAAGAUAAUUUAAAUUUUUACAGCAAGAUACACCUUGAAAAAUAAUUUUUACACUUUGAAAAAAUACACCUUGGAAAGGUACGCCUUGGAAAGGUGCACAUAAAAAAUAUAACAAAUAUUUUCUGGGAAAGAUAAUAAAUCUUCCCGAAUCUUUCCUUUCUCUCUAUCUCUCUCUUCUCCUCAGCCAAGAUCUUUUAAGAUCUGAAAAUAUUUUGAUUUUUAAGGCUUGAGUUUUAUAAAUAGUGAGAGAACAGCUCAAAUCGGGAGGGGGAUAUAGGCAUCGCACAUGAGGAGGUCACAUGGAGAAUAAUUUUCUAUUGCAAAACAAAAUAAAAACAAAAAAAAAGAGAGAAAAAAGAGUAAGAGAGGGUGGAAGGAGAGUUAAAAAUAAAUAAAUAAAUAAAUAAUGUAUAUAUAUAUAUAUAAAUAGAAAGAAAAGAGAACUGUGCUCUCCUUUUUUGUUCGCCGCCGCCGAACACGUCGAUGCCGCCCAAAGCCGUUGCCUCCCAUCAACUAUCGACGUCGCCGAUCAACUCGAGGUGCCGCCGCCGUAUUCGCGGACGCCGUCCGAAGUUGCUGCCGCCCAUACCCGCGAUUAAGAGUUGGUUUUACCCUCGGAGGGUCAUCUAAAUCUAAAUAAAGCAACAAGAACGUGGUUUCCAUGAACGAAAGAGUAAUGUUUUGGGUGUUUUGGGUUUUGGGUGAGGAUGAAUUUUUGAGAUGGGUUUUGAGAGUUUGUGGAGAUGGGAGUGAGUUAGGAGGCAAAGGGGAUCAAGGGGGUUGAGCUUAAGAUCGGACUUUGGUAAAAAAGUCUCACAAGAAAGGAAAAAAAAAAAAUAGUAGCUUAGUAAGAAAAUAAUUUAACAUAAAAUAAUUAAGAAAUAAUCUUAGCAUAUUCUUUUUUCUUUCUUUUUUUUUAACCACCAGAAGGGCACCACCAUCUGAACAGUUCCGG
This 1269-nucleotide long non-coding RNA is filed under the name Ananas comosus (pineapple). RNAcentral's name for it is "long non-coding RNA (ACOM_LNC034197)". The record is from RNAcentral. Lineage: Eukaryota; Viridiplantae; Streptophyta; Magnoliopsida; Poales; Bromeliaceae.